RNAcentral lists this ribosomal RNA (252 nucleotides) under uncultured bacterium. Its description in RNAcentral is "partial 16S ribosomal RNA". It matches the Rfam family "Bacterial small subunit ribosomal RNA", at positions 525 to 776 of the family's 1533-position model. The record is from RNAcentral.
ACGGAGGGUCCAAGCGUUAUCCGGAUUUAUUGGGUUUAAAGGGUCCGUAGGCGGAUUUUUAAGUCAGUGGUGAAAGCCUGCAGCUCAACUGCAGAACUGCCAUUGAUACUGGAAAUCUUGAGUGUAUUUGAAGUGGGCGGAAUGUGUCAUGUAGCGGUGAAAUGCAUAGAUAUGACACAGAACACCGAUUGCGAAGGCAGCUCACUAAACUACAACUGACGCUGAGGGACGAAAGCGUGGGGAGCGAACAGG